This is a non-coding RNA of Podarcis lilfordi (Lilford's wall lizard), 73 nucleotides long. Lineage: Eukaryota; Metazoa; Chordata; Lepidosauria; Squamata; Lacertidae. The record is from the annotation of a GenBank genome assembly.
GCUGGGAUAGCUCAGUCGGUAGAGCAUAAGACUCUUAAUCUCAGGUUCAUGAGUUUGAGCCCCAUGUUGGGCG